UUCAUGUCAAGUCAUUGGUAGACAGAGGGGUCUCCAAGUCCCACCAUGUCAGGGGCUUAAACUCAGAGUCCCAUCACCAUAUCCACACUUUCUGCUGGGCUUCAGUUGGGAUCCAGAAAGAGAGGUGUUAUGACAGAGGACUGCAAUGGAGGGCAGCUGGAAACUGAGCAACCACAGAAGGCGAUGGUGGAGAGAAUGGCUCAGGAUUUGGUAAUUUUAUGCCAGGGGACACCAGCUCCUCUGGAGGAGCAGAUGGCAGAGCAGGAGCAGGUUCCGACGGAUUAGAACCCAUAAAAACAGGUAAGGGAGUCAGUGCUCUUUGCACCAGACUCCAGGUGGUUAACACCGCAAGGGGCACAGGAACCCCCUGACCCAAAUUCUUCUUUAAAAACUCCCCUACUCGCUCCCAGAGUUCCAAAUCUAAUGUGGCCUCAUUGGGAGCCCGGGCAAUGUCGCCUUACUGCGCGUAAGAGCUGCUGUAAGGCUUUCGGCUCAACAGAACACUGAGCAGCUUUUAGGAGCUGCUGCAAGGUGCGCAGAUAGAUUCGCUGAUGUUCGGUCAGCUCUUGCCCUAUGUCAGUAAUCUCCUCCCGAAACUGCACGCAUCGGUCCCUUUCCCAAAGCAGCGGGUGG
Non-coding RNA from Microcebus murinus (gray mouse lemur), 633 nucleotides. The record is from RefSeq and is a predicted model, not a curated record. Lineage: Eukaryota; Metazoa; Chordata; Mammalia; Primates; Cheirogaleidae.